GUGUCCUUUCUGGGGCCCCCUCUCAAAGCCGCCCACCGCCCCACCCGGGCAGGAAGGGCCGCGUGCAGUGGCAGCGCUGGCCACCAGGGGCCAGCAGCGGCCAGAGACCGCGCAGGCCCCGCAGGCCGCGGGCACCGCAGCUCGGAAGGGGCGGAGCCUCACCUGGACUGCGAGGGGACGGCCGGGGGCUGGGGACCAUCUCUGAAUUCUGGGUCCCCCAGCCCUAGGUUUCUCUCAGUCCUCGCCGCCCCCAUCUGGGCCCGGUGGUACCAGGAGGACCUCAUUUAGACUGAGGGCCUCCCUCUGGCUCCAGCUCAGGCCCAUCGAGGCCCACGCCCCUCCGCUUCAAUGUCUGCGGGCACCGGAAGUACGCAGCAGACCCUCAGCUCUUACACUGGCGGCCAGGGAGCCCCGUGGCACGCGAAGACGGCAGCGCGGGGGUGGGGUGGAGUGCAGGCACGGCUGGCUCCGGAUCCUGAGAGACCACCGCCUGGCAGAUGUCUCUCGGACGCCCUCGCGCCACUGCCACGCCACGAGGCCCCUCACCCCGCCUGAUUGCCCUCCCUCCCUUCCUUCCCCUGGGGUCUCACUAAGUCCCUAAGUUGCCAGGCUGGGUUCCAACGCGCAGCCCUCCUGCCUCAGCCUCCCGGUUCUGGCUCCUGGCCCCCUCCCGGGCCGGGCGGCCGCACCUCGAGG
This is a long non-coding RNA of Chinchilla lanigera (long-tailed chinchilla), 696 nucleotides long. RefSeq lists it as uncharacterized. The record is from RefSeq and is a predicted model, not a curated record. The transcript is spliced from 3 exons. NCBI's taxonomy places the organism in Eukaryota, Metazoa, Chordata, Mammalia, Rodentia, Chinchillidae.